This 465-nucleotide ribosomal RNA is filed under the name Vreelandella stevensii. Its description in RNAcentral is "partial 16S ribosomal RNA". It matches the Rfam family "Bacterial small subunit ribosomal RNA", at positions 338 to 795 of the family's 1533-position model. Lineage: Bacteria; Pseudomonadati; Pseudomonadota; Gammaproteobacteria; Oceanospirillales; Halomonadaceae. The record is from RNAcentral.
CCUACGGGUGGCAGCAGUGGGGAAUAUUGGACAAUGGGGGCAACCCUGAUCCAACCAUGCCGCGUGUGUGAAGAAGGCCCUCGGGUUGUAAAGCACUUUCAGUGAGGAAGAACGCCUGGUGGUUAAUACCCAUCAGGAAAGACAUCACUCACAGAAGAAGCACCGGCUAACUCCGUGCCAGCAGCCGCGGUAAUACGGAGGGUGCGAGCGUUAAUCGGAAUUACUGGGCGUAAAGCGCGCGUAGGUGGCUUGAUAAGCCGGUUGUGAAAGCCCCGGGCUCAACCUGGGAACGGCAUCCGGAACUGUCAAGCUAGAGUGCAGGAGAGGAAGGUAGAAUUCCCGGUGUAGCGGUGAAAUGCGUAGAGAUCGGGAGGAAUACCAGUGGCGAAGGCGGCCUUCUGGACUGACACUGACACUGAGGUGCGAAAGCGUGGGUAGCAAACAGGAUUAGAUACCCCUGUAGUC